AGAACAAGAUUAAUAGGAAACGAAAUUUUUUUGCCAUUUCAGAAAAAAAGAUAUCUUACCAUACAAACAGUUUUCUUUCUUUUGGAUAUAACUAAUGUUAGAAACAAACUAACUUACAACAGAUUUUGUCAUUGCAGCUGCAAAAUUAGGAACUUUAUACAAUACUAUAGUAGCUAGGAAUAACAUUUCGUUUGCAUUAAUUCUAUGCAUAGGAAAAAGGCGGUUAUUUUGGAAGAUGAAAACUUGUGGUGUUACACAAAAAUAUGGAUAAAAAACAAUAUCAAGGCAUCUAGACUACUGAUAGACGUUAUCUCGCAGAAAACUGAAAGGAGCAGCAAAGAAAGGACAGAACGUAAAAAUCAGCAACUCUGAUGAGAUGGUAGAAAGCAGAUGAACGGGAGAUAAUAAAAUGCAGAUGGACGGCUUCUUUGAUCGUGAAGAGUUUGCUAUUAGUUAUGGGACGAGGGCAUUCCAAGGAAAUGACAUAUAUGAGUCUUUAAAGCAGUAUGCCAUUCAUUGCCUCAGUAUAGAGAUUCAACAUUUAAUGAUUAUAGGAAUAACAAAGGUGUAGCUCCACACAGACACUGAAAAGGAAGGCAAAGAUGUUUUCAGACUGACAUAAAGCCCUAGUUUCUAAAACUAGAAAUAUAUUCCUAACAGCAAGCACGAAUAUUUCCAGAAUUAUUCCCCUUUACUUGUUUACCUGACAUUAC
This is a long non-coding RNA of Ruditapes philippinarum (Manila clam), 713 nucleotides long. RefSeq lists it as uncharacterized. Lineage: Eukaryota; Metazoa; Mollusca; Bivalvia; Venerida; Veneridae. The transcript is spliced from 3 exons. The record is from RefSeq and is a predicted model, not a curated record.